Long non-coding RNA from Haemorhous mexicanus (house finch), 1471 nucleotides. RefSeq lists it as uncharacterized. The transcript is spliced from 3 exons. NCBI's taxonomy places the organism in Eukaryota, Metazoa, Chordata, Aves, Passeriformes, Fringillidae. The record is from RefSeq and is a predicted model, not a curated record.
CGUCACCGCUCCAGGCAUGCCAAAGAACAGAGGAGAGCAGGUAUCCUUUGAGCAGCCUCUGGAGUAGAAUCAGGAUUUGAGGUACCCGGAGGAGGUUUGCAGCCAAAGUUUGGAAACGGCAGCACCGAAGCAAACACGGAGAACGUCCCGACGUCCACGUACAACCGACGAUGGAUUUUGUCCGCUCGUCUUCCAAAAGCUAAGUGUCGCGGCCAGUAGUUGGGAGAAGGGGAAAAACCUUUACUAUCACAGGGGGCAAUUUGAUGUCAGUUUAGCGCAGAGGUCUGUAGCGGGAUGGGCUCUCUGGAAGCAAAGGGAGAGGGUUUCUCCUCAGCCUCACCACAGCCUCUGCCGGGCAGGGCAGUUCCGACCCAUCUCCACAUUGUCGUAAACUUUGCGUCGUCAGCCUUCUUCAACUCGACAUCGUCACGGAUCUUUCGCCCGAGGAGUUCGCCUUCAGGUCCGGAGCUACGGCCACGGUCAACCGGCGGUCUCCGCUUCCUUCUCUAGGCCCACCGAGCCUCUCUAGCGUCCUCUUAACCGCUUCGGUGCUAACUUCUUUUAACGAGUUACAUUUCAUCAUUACAUCCUAUCGUCAUACGGCUUUCUUUCCUUUUGCAUCAUCAGCCCCCGGCUCAUCUUGCGCUAGCAAUCUCGGGUCCAUAAGGUGAAAGCGCCAGGCAGUUUCCACUUGUCUCUCCGUUACAUCAUCCGUGUCUAUGUUACGUCAUCCAUGUCCGUGUUACGUAGUCUGUCUCCACCGUCUUCCAUGUCGUAGGCCUUCGUUCCAUCCCAGCUCUUUACGGGCACUAUUUCUUGCCAUAUCGGCCGUAUUUUACACACAUUCCUUCACUUAUUCCGGCAUCUUUAAAUCUUUACUCUUUGAGACGGGAAGGAUUACACAAGAUGUCCUCAUCCAUCUUCCUUCUCGCUACCGGCUUUGGUAGCGCCUUUUCCUCCACGCCAUUCUCUUGGACUUUUAGAGGGAGUGUCUUACACCCUCCUCACGUGACCGCAGUAGUUCUCUAGGUUCCAUCUUCUCAAAGGGUAUAGGGCUCAAGAAUUAAUCUUUCAGAGAGUUAUGUCAAGUGCUGGCUUAUACCUUAUCUACCUGUGUUGGCUUAUACUCUGUGUACUUAUACUGUAUCUACCUGCGUUGGCUUAUAUUGUAUGUACUCUAUAUUGUCUGUACCUAUGUUGGCUUAUAGUGUAUGUACUUAUAUUGUCUGUACCUAUGUUGGCUUAUAUUGUCUGUAAUUAUGUUGGCUUAUAGUGUCUGUACCUUUAGUGUCUGUACCUAUGUUGGCUUAUAGUGUCUGUACCUAUGUUGGCUGUCCCUAUGUUGGCUUAUAGUGUCUGUACCUAUGCUGGCUUAUAGUGUCUGUACCUAUGUUGGCUGUACCUAUGUUGGCUUAUAGUGUCUGUACCUAUGCUGGCUGUACCUAUGUUGGCUUAUAGUGUCUGUACCUAU